Molecule: ribosomal RNA, 708 nt
Filed under: uncultured bacterium
Lineage: Bacteria
Description: bacterial SSU rRNA
Rfam family: Bacterial small subunit ribosomal RNA
Source: RNAcentral
AGAGUUUGAUCAUGGCUCAGGACGAACGCUGGCGGCGCGCCUAAUGCAUGCAAGUCGAGCGACGCAUAUUCGGUGGGUAACCACUGGGUAUGACGGAGCGGCGAACGGGUGAGUAACACGUGAGUAACCUGCCCCGAAGAUCGGGAUAGCCCGGGGAAACCCGGAUUAAUACCGAAUACCCUCUCUGGAUCGCAUGGUCCGAUGAGGAAAUGCCUUUGUGCUUCGGGAUGGACUCGCGGCCUAUCAGCUUGUUGGUGAGGUAACGGCUCACCAAGGCAACGACGGGUAGCUGGUCUGAGAGGACGAUCAGCCACACUGGGACUGAGACACGGCCCAGACUCCUACGGGAGGCAGCAGCAGGGAAUCUUGUCCAAUGGGCGAAAGCCUGAGACAGCGACGCCGCGUGAGGGAUGAAGGCCUUCGGGUUGUAAACCUCUUUCAGGAGGGACGAAAUUGACGGUACCUCCAGAAGAAGCCCCGGCCAACUACGUGCCAGCAGCCGCGGUAAUACGUAGGGGGCAAGCGUUGUCCGGAUUUAUUGGGCGUAAAGGGCUCGUAGGCGGCUCAACAAGUCGGUCGUGAAAACCCAGGGCUCAACCCUGGGACGCCGGUCGAUACUGUUGUGGCUAGGGUCCGGUAGAGGAGAAUGGAAUUCCCGGUGUAGCGGUGAAAUGCGCAGAUAUCGGGAGGAACACCAGUAGCGAAGGC